AUUAUACAGCGAAACUGCGAAUGGCUCAUUAAAUCAGUUAUCGUUUAUUUGAUAGUACCUUACUACUUGGAUAACCGUGGUAAUUCUAGAGCUAAUACAUGCUAAAAACCCCGACUCACGAAGGGGUGUAUUUAUUAGAUUAAAAACCAAUGCCCUUCGGGGCUCUUUGGUGAUUCAUAAUAACUUUUCGAAUCGCAUGGCCUUGCGCCGGCGAUGGUUCAUUCAAAUUUCUGCCCUAUCAACUUUCGAUGGCAGGGUCUUGGCCUGCCAUGGUUACAACGGGUAACGGAGGGUUAGGGCUCGACCCCGGAGAAGGAGCCUGAGAAACGGCUACUACAUCCAAGGAAGGCAGCAGGCGCGCAAAUUACCCAAUCCCGAUUCGGGGAGGUAGUGACAAUAAAUACUGAUACAGGGCUCUUUUGGGUCUUGUAAUUGGAAUGAGUACAAUUUAAAUCCCUUAACGAGGAACAAUUGGAGGGCAAGUCUGGUGCCAGCAGCCGCGGUAAUUCCAGCUCCAAUAGCGUAUAUUAAAGUUGUUGCAGUUAAAAAGCUCGUAGUUGAACCUUGGGCCUGGCUGGCCGGUCCGCCUCACCGCGUGCACUGGUUCGGCCGGGCCUUUCCCUCUGGGGAACCCCAUGGUCUUCACUGAUCGUGGCGGGGAACCAGGACUUUUACUGUGAAAAAAUUAGAGUGUUCAAAGCAGGCAUAUGCUCGAAUACAUUAGCAUGGAAUAAUAAAAUAGGACGUGUGGUUCUAUUUUGUUGGUUUCUAGGACCGCCGUAAUGAUUAAUAGGGACAGUCGGGGGCAUCAGUAUUCAAUUGUCAGAGGUGAAAUUCUUGGAUUUAUUGAAGACUAACUACUGCGAAAGCAUUUGCCAAGGAUGUUUUCAUUAAUCAGGAACGAAAGUUAGGGGAUCGAAGACGAUCAGAUACCGUCGUAGUCUUAACCAUAAACUAUGCCGACUAGGGAUCGGACGGUGUUAUUUUUUGACCCGUUCGGCACCUUACGAGAAAUCAAAGUC
RNAcentral lists this ribosomal RNA (1022 nucleotides) under Discosia brasiliensis. RNAcentral's name for it is "SSU rRNA". It matches the Rfam family "Eukaryotic small subunit ribosomal RNA", at positions 73 to 1105 of the family's 1831-position model. Lineage: Eukaryota; Fungi; Ascomycota; Sordariomycetes; Amphisphaeriales; Sporocadaceae. The record is from RNAcentral.